This is an RNA transcript of Homo sapiens (human), 577 nucleotides long. It is a transcript of the gene named lysine methyltransferase 2C pseudogene 4, with no coding region annotated. The record is from RefSeq and is marked validated. Lineage: Eukaryota; Metazoa; Chordata; Mammalia; Primates; Hominidae. The transcript has 6 exons.
AAAGGCUUGCUGAUAGCGUUCACAGUGACAGCCCGAAAGUAUGAUUCUAAGGGCCAUGGGUCUGGAUUUCCAGGAAAGCGGAGACCUCGAGGUGCAGGACUGUCGGGGCGAGGUGGCCGAGGCAGGUCAAAGCUGAAAAGUGGAAUCGGAGCUGUUGUAUUGCCUGGGGUGUCUACUGCAGAUAUUUCAUCAAAUAAGGAUGAUGAAGAAAACUCUGUGCUCGAUAUGGUUGUGUUGUUUUCUAGCAGUGACAAGUUCACUUUGAAUCAGGAUAUAUGUGUAGUUUGUGGCAGUUUUGGCCAAGGAGCAGAAGGAAGAUUACUUGCCUGUUCUCAGUGUGGUCAGUGUUACCAUCCAUACUGUGUCAGUAUUAAGGUGUGUUUGAUGCAGACACUGUGGAGCGACAUCUGCAGGUCUAAGAUGUGAAUGGCAGAACAAUUACACACAGUGCGCUCCUUGUGCAAGUUUAUCUUCCUGUCCAGUCUGCUAUUGAAACUAUAGAGAAGAAGAUCUUAUUCUGCAAUGAAGACAAUGUGAUAGAGACAGAGUCUUGUUCUGUCGCCAGGCUGGAGUGCAG